GAUGAACGCUAGCGGCAGGCCUAAUACAUGCAAGUCGAGGGGCAUCACAGGUAGCAAUACUGGGUGGCGACCGGCGCACGGGUGCGUAACACGUAUGUAAUCUGCCCGAUAACUGGGGGAUAGCCCGGAGAAAUCCGGAUUAAUACCCCAUAGUACUAUUGGUUGGCAUCAAUUGAUAGUUAAAGCUCCGGCGGUUAUGGAUGAACAUGCGACUGA
This 216-nucleotide ribosomal RNA is filed under the name uncultured bacterium. RNAcentral's name for it is "partial 16S ribosomal RNA". It matches the Rfam family "Bacterial small subunit ribosomal RNA", at positions 28 to 240 of the family's 1533-position model. The record is from RNAcentral.